This 434-nucleotide ribosomal RNA is filed under the name uncultured bacterium. Its description in RNAcentral is "partial 16S ribosomal RNA". It matches the Rfam family "Bacterial small subunit ribosomal RNA", at positions 29 to 507 of the family's 1533-position model. The record is from RNAcentral.
AGCGAACGCUGGCGGCAGGCCUAACACAUGCAAGUCGAACGAACCUUUCGGGGUUAGUGGCGGACGGGUGAGUAACACGUGGGAACGUGCCUUUAGGUUCGGAAUAACUCAGGGAAACUUGUGCUAAUACCGAAUGUGCCCUUCGGGGGAAAGAUUAAUCGCCUUUAGAGCGGCCCGCGUCUGAUUAGCUAGUUGGUUGAGGUAAUGGCUCACCAAGGCGACGAUCAGUAGCUGGUCUGAGAGGAUGAUCAGCCACAUUGGGACUGAGACACGGCCCAAACUCCUACGGGAGGCAGCAGUGGGGAAUCUUGCGCAAUGGGCGAGAGCCUGACGCAGCCAUGCCGCGUGAAUGAUGAAGGUCUUAGGAUUGUAAAAUUCUUUCACCGGGGACGAUAAUGACGGUACCCGGAGAAGAAGCCCCGGCUAACUUCGUG